RNAcentral lists this transfer RNA (71 nucleotides) under Marmota monax (woodchuck). RNAcentral describes it as "tRNA.Ala". The record is from RNAcentral. Lineage: Eukaryota; Metazoa; Chordata; Mammalia; Rodentia; Sciuridae.
GGGGUUGUGGCUCAGCGGUACAGCGCUCGCCUAGCAUGUGUGAGGCCCUGGGUUCAACCCUCAGCACUACA